Rhizobiales bacterium TMED249 is the source of this 74-nucleotide non-coding RNA. NCBI's taxonomy places the organism in Bacteria, Pseudomonadati, Pseudomonadota, Alphaproteobacteria, Hyphomicrobiales. The record is from Rfam.
CGGAGUGUAGCGCAGCCCGGUAGCGCACUUGUCUGGGGGACAAGGGGUCGUGGGUUCAAAUCCCGCCACUCCGA